Molecule: ribosomal RNA, 662 nt
Filed under: uncultured bacterium
Lineage: Bacteria
Description: bacterial SSU rRNA
Rfam family: Bacterial small subunit ribosomal RNA
Source: RNAcentral
ACUGAGUGGCGGACGGAUGAGUAACGCGUGGGUAACCUGCCCUGUACAGGGGGAUAACAGCUGGAAACGGCUGCUAAUACCGCAUAAGCGCACGAGGAGACAUCUCCUUGUGUGAAAAACUCCGGUGGUACAGGAUGGGCCCGCGUCUGAUUAGCUGGUUGGCAGGGUAACGGCCUACCAAGGCAACGAUCAGUAGCCGGUCUGAGAGGAUGAACGGCCACAUUGGAACUGAGACACGGUCCAAACUCCUACGGGAGGCAGCAGUGGGGAAUAUUGCACAAUGGGGGAAACCCUGAUGCAGCAACGCCGCGUGAGUGAAGAAGUAUUUCGGUAUGUAAAGCUCUAUCAGCAGGGAAGAUAAUGACGGUACCUGACUAAGAAGCUCCGGCUAAAUACGUGCCAGCAGCCGCGGUAAUACGUAUGGAGCAAGCGUUAUCCGGAUUUACUGGGUGUAAAGGGUGCGUAGGUGGCAGUGCAAGUCAGAUGUGAAAGGCCGGGGCUCAACCCCGGAGCUGCAUUUGAAACUGCAUAGCUAGAGUACAGGAGAGGCAGGCGGAAUUCCUAGUGUAGCGGUGAAAUGCGUAGAUAUUAGGAGGAACACCAGUGGCGAAGGCGGCCUGCUGGACUGUUACUGACACUGAGGCACGAAAGCGUGGGGAGCA